This 806-nucleotide ribosomal RNA is filed under the name Saccharomyces cerevisiae (brewer's yeast). Its description in RNAcentral is "eukaryotic LSU rRNA". The stretch from base 370 to 523 matches the Rfam family "5.8S ribosomal RNA". The record is from RNAcentral. Lineage: Eukaryota; Fungi; Ascomycota; Saccharomycetes; Saccharomycetales; Saccharomycetaceae.
CAUUAAAGAAAUUUAAUAAUUUUGAAAAUGGAUUUUUUUUGUUUUGGCAAGAGCAUGAGAGCUUUUACUGGGCAAGAAGACAAGAGAUGGAGAGUCCAGCCGGGCCUGCGCUUAAGUGCGCGGUCUUGCUAGGCUUGUAAGUUUCUUUCUUGCUAUUCCAAACGGUGAGAGAUUUCUGUGCUUUUGUUAUAGGACAAUUAAAACCGUUUCAAUACAACACACUGUGGAGUUUUCAUAUCUUUGCAACUUUUUCUUUGGGCAUUCGAGCAAUCGGGGCCCAGAGGUUAACAAACACAAACAAUUUUAUUUAUUCAUUAAAUUUUUGUCAAAAACAAGAAUUUUCGUAACUGGAAAUUUUAAAAUAUUAAAAACUUUCAACAACGGAUCUCUUGGUUCUCGCAUCGAUGAAGAACGCAGCGAAAUGCGAUACGUAAUGUGAAUUGCAGAAUUCCGUGAAUCAUCGAAUCUUUGAACGCACAUUGCGCCCCUUGGUAUUCCAGGGGGCAUGCCUGUUUGAGCGUCAUUUGGUUCUCAAACAUUCUGUUUGGUAGUGAGUGAUACUCUUUGGAGUUAACUUGAAAUUGCUGGCCUUUUCAUUGGAUGUUUUUUUUUUCCAAAGAGAGGUUUCUCUGCGUGCUUGAGGUAUAAUGCAAGUACGGUCGUUUUAGGUUUUACCAACUGCGGCUAAUCUUUAAAAUACUGAGCGUAUUGGAACGUUAUCGAUAAGAAGAGAGCGUCUAGGCGAACAAUGUUCUUAAAGUUUGACCUCAAAUCAGGUAGCGGUACCCGCUGAACUUAAGCAUAUC